AUGCAACCAUGUCUUAAGGGUCAUGGAUAUACUUCAUCUGGAGAAGAUCCCUGCAAUGCAUAUACUCAAGUACUCAAGCGGUGGACCAAGGACGCGAGGGACAUACUUCCCCAACACCUGGUUCAGUAUCAGAAGGACAAUUCAGUUAACUUGUCGUUCACAUGCAGGAACUCGAUGCUCUAUCUGAAAGCCAUGGAAGUCGUGCGGAUAGGCGAUUCGAAUGCAGAAUCAUUCGAGCACAUGUUUGCUGGUCUGGAAGCUUUGUUGGUGAGUGGCACACCUUUAGCUGAGAAGAGGGAUGCUUGGGGUUUGAGCAUCGGAUAG
RNAcentral lists this ribosomal RNA (324 nucleotides) under Triticum aestivum (bread wheat). RNAcentral describes it as "partial small subunit ribosomal RNA". The record is from RNAcentral. Lineage: Eukaryota; Viridiplantae; Streptophyta; Magnoliopsida; Poales; Poaceae.